This 465-nucleotide ribosomal RNA is filed under the name Vreelandella stevensii. RNAcentral's name for it is "partial 16S ribosomal RNA". It matches the Rfam family "Bacterial small subunit ribosomal RNA", at positions 338 to 795 of the family's 1533-position model. The record is from RNAcentral. Lineage: Bacteria; Pseudomonadati; Pseudomonadota; Gammaproteobacteria; Oceanospirillales; Halomonadaceae.
CCUACGGGUGGCUGCAGUGGGGAAUAUUGGACAAUGGGGGCAACCCUGAUCCAGCAAUGCCGCGUGUGUGAAGAAGGCCCUCGGGUUGUAAAGCACUUUCAGUGAGGAAGAACGCCUGGUGGUUAAUACCCAUCAGGAAAGACAUCACUCACAGAAGAAGCACCGGCUAACUCAGUGCCAGCAGCCGCGGUAAUACGGAGGGUGCGAGCGUUAAUCGGAAUUACUGGGCGUAAAGCGCGCGUAGGUGGCUUGAUAAGCCGGUUGUGAAAGCCCCGGGCUCAACCUGGGAACGGCAUCCGGAACUGUCAAGCUAGAGUGCAGGAGAGGAAAGUAGAAUUCCCUGUGUAGCGGUGAAAUGCGUAGAGAUCGGGAGGAAUACCAGUGGCGAAGGCGGCCUUCUGGACUGACACUGACACUGAGGUGCGAAAGCGUGGGUAGCAAACAGGAUUAGAUACCCUGGUAGUC